ACGGAAAUAAAUAAAUAUAGUUUCUAAAUACAAUUCAAGCAUAGCAAUCCAUCAAUCUCUCCCUCAAAACAUACCAAGAUAACACAUACAAGUAGAAGAGUGAAAAGGGAAAUGAAUUCAUCCAAGGGUCAUAUAUCACAGGGUAUGUAUACAUAUAACUUAAAAAGUGAAUAUGAUAAAAACAUGUUAGAUGGAUGACGUAACUACAAUCAUAUUCACUUUGUGCAUUUAGCAAAUCAUGCAUAGCUUCUCACUUCCAAGCCUUUCUUACCAUGUUCCCCCUACAUCAGGCCAUCAUCACUUUUCUACCGUGGCCUGAUAUUAACAGAAAGAAAUACAAUUCUGAAUAAUAACCAGGCACGAUGGUUGUUCAUGAGUGGCAUAGGAACAUCCAGACUAUGUAAAUUUUUGGGUCUCCUAUUCAAUCACAAUGUGAGAAUUGAACCACAUAGCACAAACAGGAAUGCCAGGCUCUAUGGUCAAAGAUGAACAACACAGAAGCAACUAUAGCAGAUAUACAAGCCAAAACUAAAAGAUGGUUUAAUUUACAUACCAACCAAAUGAAGACAUCUGUACCAUGGUCUAGAACAACUGCUGUAUCAGACUGCAUGACAAGAUCAUAAGCUGGCAAUUCUUC
This 637-nucleotide long non-coding RNA is filed under the name Gossypium barbadense (sea-island cotton). RNAcentral's name for it is "long non-coding RNA (GBAR_LNC023412)". The record is from RNAcentral. Lineage: Eukaryota; Viridiplantae; Streptophyta; Magnoliopsida; Malvales; Malvaceae.